This 1429-nucleotide ribosomal RNA is filed under the name Arthrobacter sp. RNAcentral's name for it is "bacterial SSU rRNA". It matches the Rfam family "Bacterial small subunit ribosomal RNA". Lineage: Bacteria; Bacillati; Actinomycetota; Actinomycetes; Micrococcales; Micrococcaceae. The record is from RNAcentral.
GAACCUGGGGCGGGGUGCUUACCUGCAGUCGAACGAUGAUCCGGUGCUUGCACCGGGGAUUAGUGGCGAACGGGUGAGUAACACGUGAGUAACCUGCCCUUGACUCUGGGAUAAGCCUGGGAAACCGGGUCUAAUACCGGAUACGACCUUUCACCGCAUGGUGGUUGGUGGAAAGAUUUUUUGGUUUUGGAUGGACUCGCGGCCUAUCAGCUUGUUGGUGAGGUAAUGGCUCACCAAGGCGACGACGGGUAGCCGGCCUGAGAGGGUGACCGGCCACACUGGGACUGAGACACGGCCCAGACUCCUACGGGAGGCAGCAGUGGGGAAUAUUGCACAAUGGGCGAAAGCCUGAUGCAGCGACGCCGCGUGAGGGAUGACGGCCUUCGGGUUGUAAACCUCUUUCAGCAGGGAAGAAGCGAAAGUGACGGUACCUGCAGAAGAAGCGCCGGCUAACUACGUGCCAGCAGCCGCGGUAAUACGUAGGGCGCAAGCGUUGUCCGGAAUUAUUGGGCGUAAAGAGCUCGUAGGCGGUUUGUCGCGUCUGCUGUGAAAGCCCGGGGCUCAACCCCGGGUCUGCAGUGGGUACGGGCAGACUAGAGUGCAGUAGGGGAGACUGGAAUUCCUUGGUGUAGCGGUGAAAUGCGCAGAUAUCAGGAGGAACACCGAUGGCGAAGGCAGGUCUCUGGGCUGUAACUGACGCUGAGGAGCGAAAGCAUGGGGAGCGAACAGGAUUAGAUACCCUGGUAGUCCAUGCCGUAAACGUUGGGCACUAGGUGUGGGGGACAUUCCACGUUUUCCGCGCCGUAGCUAACGCAUUAAGUGCCCCGCCUGGGGAGUACGGCCGCAAGGCUAAAACUCAAAGGAAUUGACGGGGGCCCGCACAAGCGGCGGAGCAUGCGGAUUAAUUCGAUGCAACGCGAAGAACCUUACCAAGGCUUGACAUGGACCGGACCGCCGCAGAAAUGCGGUUUCCCUUCGGGGCUGGUUUACAGGUGGUGCAUGGUUGUCGUCAGCUCGUGUCGUGAGAUGUUGGGUUAAGUCCCGCAACGAGCGCAACCCUCGUUCUAUGUUGCCAGCGCGUUAUGGCGGGGACUCAUAGGAGACUGCCGGGGUCAACUCGGAGGAAGGUGGGGACGACGUCAAAUCAUCAUGCCCCUUAUGUCUUGGGCUUCACGCAUGCUACAAUGGCCGGUACAAAGGGUUGCGAUACUGUGAGGUGGAGCUAAUCCCAAAAAGCCGGUCUCAGUUCGGAUUGAGGUCUGCAACUCGACCUCAUGAAGUCGGAGUCGCUAGUAAUCGCAGAUCAGCAACGCUGCGGUGAAUACGUUCCCGGGCCUUGUACACACCGCCCGUCAAGUCACGAAAGUUGGUAACACCCGAAGCCGGUGGCCUAACCCCUUGUGGGAGGGAGCCGUCGCAAGGUUACCGG